UGGCUCAGUGGUAGAGUGCUUGCCUAGCAUGCAUGAGGCACUGGGUUCGAUCCUCAG
RNAcentral lists this transfer RNA (57 nucleotides) under Marmota marmota marmota (Alpine marmot). It matches the Rfam family "tRNA", at positions 8 to 63 of the family's 71-position model. Rfam says of the family: Transfer RNA (tRNA) molecules are approximately 80 nucleotides in length. Their secondary structure includes four short double-helical elements and three loops (D, anti-codon, and T loops). Lineage: Eukaryota; Metazoa; Chordata; Mammalia; Rodentia; Sciuridae. RNAcentral also lists the same sequence under 2 other names. The record is from Rfam by way of RNAcentral.